RNAcentral lists this ribosomal RNA (428 nucleotides) under Acidobacteriota bacterium. Its description in RNAcentral is "Acidobacteria bacterium partial 16S ribosomal RNA". It matches the Rfam family "Bacterial small subunit ribosomal RNA", at positions 355 to 776 of the family's 1533-position model. Lineage: Bacteria; Pseudomonadati; Acidobacteriota. The record is from RNAcentral.
UGGGGAAUCUUGCGCAAUGGGCGAAAGCCUGACGCAGCGACGCCGCGUGAGGGAAGAAGGCCUUCGGGUUGUAAACCUCUUUCAGGAGGGACGAAGCCACUCGGGUUAAUAGCCCAGAGGGUGACGGUACCUCCAGAAGAAGCCCCGGCUAACUACGUGCCAGCAGCCGCGGUAAUACGUAGGGGGCAAGCGUUGUCCGGAUUUAUUGGGCGUAAAGAGCGUGUAGGCGGCCAGGUAGGUCUGCUGUGAAAACUCGAGGCUUAACCUCGAGCUGUCGGCGGAAACCAUCUGGCUAGAGUCCGGAAGAGGAGAAUGGAAUUCCCGGUGUAGCGGUGAAAUGCGCAGAUAUCGGGAAGAACACCCGUGGCGAAGGCGGUUCUCUGGGACGGUACUGACGCUGAGACGCGAAAGCGUGGGGAGCGAACAGG